UACGAAGGGGGCUAGCGUUGCUCGGAAUCACUGGGCGUAAAGGGUGCGUAGGCGGGUCUUUUAAGUCAGGGGUGAAAUCCUGGAGCUCAACUCCAGAACUGCCUUUGAUACUGAAGAUCUUGAGUUCGGGAGAGGUGAGUGGAACUGCGAGUGUAGAGGUGAAAUUCGUAGAUAUUCGCAAGAACACCAGUGGCGAAGGCGGCUCACUGGCCCGAUACUGACGCUGAGGCACGAAAGCGUGGGGAGCA
RNAcentral lists this ribosomal RNA (248 nucleotides) under uncultured bacterium. Its description in RNAcentral is "partial 16S ribosomal RNA". It matches the Rfam family "Bacterial small subunit ribosomal RNA", at positions 524 to 770 of the family's 1533-position model. The record is from RNAcentral.